CUGUGGAGCAGCAGUUUUCAAAUUUCUUCAAUUGGCUUCUUAAGUGUAUAAAGCUUCUUAUGCAAGAACCAAGUGAUCAGCUUCUGCCAUAUAACAGUGAACUUGUUGUCACAUUCUUGAAGUUCUUAUAUGAUCAAGAUCCAGUUAGGCAGUUUCUGGAACUUUCUGAAGUUCAUAAUAUUGAAGUAGGCUCGGAAACAAUGCAAAGAGUCAAAGAAUUAGUUCAUUUUGGAGGAUUUUCAGAUAUUGAAUAUCUGCGAAGGACAUUAGCUAAAGAAUUUCAAGAAAUGGAGUACAGCUUCAAGGAGGCUUUUCAGAUGCCCUUCACGACAAUCUCAAGAAAAAUCCUCUGUGAGGAUUUGCUGCCACUGUUUCCACUUCCAUCUUCAUCAGCAUCUAUGUCCAUGACAAUUCCUAUGUCAAUAUCAUACUAUGAGGAAGUCUCCCAAAUAGUUUCAUCUUAUAAGACUGGUCAACAUGGCCUUGUUGAUUACACAUGCUUCCAAGUACCAAAAGAACCUUCUUCAAAUAUUUCAAAUUGUAUAGGCAUAAUGAGAGGAUUUAUGUGUGACUCAAGAAGUUCAAAGAACAGCC
This 594-nucleotide unclassified non-coding RNA is filed under the name Hevea brasiliensis (rubber tree). The record is from RNAcentral. Lineage: Eukaryota; Viridiplantae; Streptophyta; Magnoliopsida; Malpighiales; Euphorbiaceae.